CCUACGGGAGGCAGCAGUGAGGAAUAUUGGUCAAUGGACGAGAGUCUGAACCAGCCAAGUAGCGUGAAGGAUGACUGCCCUAUGGGUUGUAAACUUCUUUUAUAAAGGAAUAAAACGAGGCACGUGUGCCUUUUUGCAUGUACUUUAUGAAUAAGGAUCGGCUACCUCCGUGCCAGCAGCCGCGGUAAUACGGAGGAUCCGAGCGUUAUCCGGAUUUAUUGGGUUUAAAGGGAGCGUAGAUGGGUUGUUAAGUCAGUUGUGAAAUUUUGCGGCUCAACCGUAAAAUUGCAAUUGAUACUGGCAGUCUUGAGUACAGUUGAGGUAGGCGGAAUUCGUGGUGUAGCGGUGAAAUGCUUAGAUAUCACGAAGAACCCCGAUUGCGAAGGCAGCUUACUAAACUGUGACUGACAUUGAUGCUCGAAAGUGUGGGUAUCAAACAGGAUUAGAUACCCCAGUAGUC
Molecule: ribosomal RNA, 460 nt
Filed under: uncultured bacterium
Lineage: Bacteria
Description: partial 16S ribosomal RNA
Rfam family: Bacterial small subunit ribosomal RNA
Source: RNAcentral